AAAAGAAAAAGAGAGGCACGAACCACCACUCUCUCUCUCUCUCUCUCUCUCUCUCUCUCUCUCUCUCCUCACACUCACCUACAAUUACUCACUCACUCACAUCUCUCUCUACACUCGGACUCUCUCUAAAAAAGAAUUUAAAAAAGAGCAAAAAGAAAAGGAGGAACUACUGUUCCUCUUCUUGAAUCCAUCCGCCGUCAUACUCCACCACCGUCACAACCCAAAACAAUCGUUCAUCACCAUCAAAUCUACCGCGCCUCAUACACCAUAACCACCGUUAAACCAUGAAACAUUUCCUUCGACAAACUCUCCAACUACUCUCUCACACUCACCGAAAACUCUCCCUCACCUCACCUAUCUUCUCUUAAUCUCUGUAGAAAAAAAGGAGAAAAAACGAGAAAAGAAAAAGAAAUUGGGAAAAACUCUUCCUCUUCUUCGAAUCUCACAAGCCACUACCCCAUCGCCUCCAUUGCCUCCAACCGACGCCAUUACUUCCAUCACAGACCACCGCUCCACCUCAACAACCUUCAUCAAACCCAUACUCCCUCCAAAUCACCAAAUAACCAAACCAGAUCCAUACGUCUUAAUCCCGCCACCGCAACGUAAAGAUCUUCGAUGGUAUCCGUUCAACAUGCGAUUUCAUAUUUUUGGUUCAAUCGAUAAGAACGGGGUUUGAAUUUAUAGAAAUCAAAUUUAUUUAGUUCCUGUUGUUUUUAAAAUUUUCUAGUUGGUUUUGCUUUACCAUGGUUUGGUUAGUUUUCUCAGAGGUUUAAUUUCAUAAGAUUGCUGCCAUGUUUUAGUGAUAGGCUUGCGUUACGUUCUUGGAGUGCUGAAGUUGCUAACCUUGUGCUUCACUAUGAAUCACCUCCUUCACCACCCUCGCUCCCAACGAACUUUCCAACCCUUCUCGAUUCAGACGCCGUCACAGCACCGUAACCAAACAACAACACCAUUCCGCGAGCUCCUCCUUCCACCUGUCCAAAACUGAGCUCAAAUUGGAAAUCUCCGAUUCCGACUACUUCAAGAAGCUCAACUUACAGUGGCACAAACUCAUCAACAUUGACAAUACAACGACAUUGUAGGUAACGACAUUCUAAGGCCAUAAUUUUAUUAUGUUGGUUAUUUAUUUUACUGUAUAAUUUUAUUUUAUUUUGGAUCUAUGAGGUGUUGCUGUUGUUUCAUGCCAUUUGUUUUUAAUACUAGGAUGAAUAAAUGUUAUGCAUAGUAAGUUUUUUGUCUUAAUUUUCCCUAUGGAUAUUGUUGCCAUCGCCUAUUAAGCACUGGCACUGGGUGCUACAGAGGUUGUUGUUUGUUUAUGAGAUUUAGUACUUGAUUUAACCAAAUGUGGAUCUUAAAUAUAAAGGUGACCUUAGCUAGUACGCCAAAAUUGAAAAUGCACCCUUAUUUUUGUAGUAUAUGAUAGAUAAUUGCUUAUUAAAUAGGACAUUUAUAUGUAGCUUCGAUACUGAGUAUAGGUUAGUAUGCUGACACUAUUUUCUUAUAUUAAUGUAACAUUCUAGAUUUCGGUUCACUCGUGUAGCCAUUGUUGGAAUUUUACUCUUUCCAGUUUUUAUAUUACUCUUGCAAAGAUAUAAACAAUGUUUGUGUUGCUUUUAUUUUAUUCCUGGUGCGUGCAAAAUCCGAUAAAUUAAUGGAUUCGACCUUUUAUGUCGUUAUUCCACCAAAAUUUCAAUAUAUCAAUAGAAUAUUUUUCACCGUGUUUGGAUUUUGUAAAUGACAUUGACCAUGUUGUCAUCUUGCACAAACCGGUUUGAGCACACCGAUUCAAUUAAUCAACUUAAUUAAAUUCUGAUAAAUUAAUAAUUAAAGGUUGACCAGUUUCUUUUCCACUGUCUUUUCAUAAUAAGCAAAUUCGAUUCCACUUCAUGUUAUCAUCAACCCAUAAUCACAAAUAAACCGCACAAUUCUCAAUUCAAAGUUGAGCCCAUUUUUCCAAAACUUUGUAAGUCGAUCGCUUUUAGCAUCGCCGUCAACCUCACAUAGCUUACUCUUGGGCUUUCUUACAAUGAGAACUAUUUGAUUUUAUUCAAUCGAGUAGAAGAACGAUACACUAAAAUAAAAUUCAUUUCACUCAUAAGCACCAAAUUUAAAACCUCGACCCAAUGUCGAGUAUUUUCAUUCGAAUUAAAUUAAAGUACCCAAUCACAAUCAAAUACCAUUUCAUUUGGAAAUGAAAAGGGGGAUGGCUUUGAGUUUUCAAUUCCUCUCCUCGAUUACUUGAAUACGUGUUCUCUUACUCGGUUAGUCAAAUAGUCGUCACUUCCAUCCAUCUAAGCAUAAAAAAAUCGAAUCAUUUUAUAAUAAGAAACGAAAAGGGAGAUGACUUUGAGUCUUCAAUUUUUCUCCUCGAUUAUUUGAAUACAAGUUCUCUUACUUGGUUAGUCAAAUAAUUGUCGUUCCUCUACAAACACAUUUUAUAAUAAGAAACGAAAAGGGAGAUGACUUUGAGUCUUCAAUUUUUCUCCUCGAUUAUUUGAAUACAAGUUCUCUUACUUGGUUAGUCAAAUAAUUGUCGUUCCUCUACAAACUUCCAAACCUCGAUUAAACCAAAACACUUUCAUAAUGAGCUAAAUUAAAAGGGAGAUGACUUUGAGUUUUCAACUUCUCUCCCCAAUUGUUUGAAUACGAGUUCUCUUACUCGGUUAGUCAAACAACUGUCAUUUUUCCACAAACAUAUAACUUAAUCAAAUCAUUUUCAUAACAAACUGUAUGAAAAGGAAGAUGGUCUUGAGUUUUCAAUUCCUCUUCUCAAAUGCUUGGAUAUGAGUUGUCUUACUCAGUCAUUCAAGUACUUGUCGUUCAUUCUAAAAUACAUCAACCAUACGCAAACCUAUUUUCAUAAUCGCUCAGAUGAAAAAGAAAGUGGUCUAGAGUAUUCUAUUCUGUUUCCCGAUUAUUAGGAUACGAGUUAUCUUACUUGAUUAUCCGAGUAUUCGUGAUCCAGUCAAAAUACCUUAAUUAUUACUAAAACCUUUUAUAGUUAAAGAGGAAAAAGAAAGUGGUCUAGAGUUUUCUAUUCCCUUUCCCGAUUAUUAGGAUACGAGUUGUCUUACUCGGCCAUCCGAGUAAUCGUCAUCCAAUCAAAAAUACCUUGACACAUCCAACCUAUAUUUUCUCGCCCCCGUGCGAUCAAAACAAACCAAACAAAACAUCAAACACAUUAAUUCAACUUGUCACCCCGUGUGACCAAAACCAACAAACUCUACUCAAAAGAACACUGUUAAUCCUUUCUAAUGCGCACAACAAACUAGUGCUAGAGCCUCCCCCGAGAGUAGACAAGCCAACGUUUAGUCGUUAGAACGCUGACUUACACAUUCGUUCAUCAAACAAAACUCACAAAAUAUUCAUAGUAUCCCGAACUACGAAUGCUCUUAUUUCCUUAUUGCACCAUAAGGAUACAUAGGCAGGAGAUUGUUGUAUCUUCGUGAGCACACUAAUAAAAAAAACCUCUCAUUUCCCCUUCCUGAGGUCUUCAUCCAUAUCUAUUAUCAACUCUAAUUACUCGAAGAAAACAAACAACAUUCAGUUAACACUCAAAUCGCGAAAUUGAAGUAAAAGGUUCCCGUUGAGUACAACGGACGUGAGGGGUGCUAAUACCUUCCCCUUGCGUAAUCCACUCCUGAACCCGAAUAUGGUUGCGACGACCAUUAUUCCAUUUUCUUAAAGGUUUUCUCGAUAUUUUCCUAUUCCUUCUUUGGAAUGAAUAAAAUUCGGUGGAGACUCUAUUCGAACAUUUUUCCGCAUCCAAUCGCGAGGGAUCGCAUUUUUUUUUCGAGGUGCGACAGACUGGCGACUCUGCUGGGGACCCAUGCUCCAAGCAAGAGAGAGUGAAGCCUAACUUAGUUUAAUUUCUGUAUUGGGUGUUAAUCUUGUUUGUUUGUUUAUUACCUUUAGUCUAUCAUUAUUCUGUUGUAAUUAUUGUAUUGUGGUUUACUUCUUAUGAUACUAUUGGGAGUUCUCUGAUUAUGUGUACUGUGUGAGAUAGACUCUCUACCCGAGCCUGAGAAAAACCAUAAGUUUAAGUUGGUGGUUGCAUAGUGGACGCCCAUAAGGAGUCUUCCUUGUUUGGAAGAUGCGAAGACUCCGCCUAGAGGAGAUUCUCUUGAGAUACUAUUGUCCGACGAGCCUUCGUCACGACGAUGGUGUUUCAAGUUGGAUCAAUGACUCUAGGGACAUUUUAACCCACUAUCUGACGGUUAUGUAGUAUUAACCUACGAAGUUUCACACUUGUUGGGUUAAUACGAAAACCCCAAUCAGGUGAGAUCCCUUUGACGUAUUAUUACCUUACAGUAAUAUUUCCAACCUCGAUCUAUGACUCUGAGAACCUUAUUAGAACCUUGGACUCAAGAGUCGCAUAGUAGAAUCCCCAUGGAAUCUUCCUUGUUGGGACAAUACGAAGACCUCUCCUAAGAUGAGACUAUCUUAGGGGUAUUACUGUCCGACGAGUCUUCAUCACGGUAGUGAUGCUCUCGACGAGAAUCGAUGACUCUGGGAACCUAUUAACCUUAGGACUUACCCUUGGGAAUUUCAGUAAUCAGAGAAACCUAUACUUCCUCCUGUUAUCCUGAUGUACACGACGUGUGAAUGAUCUUGAGUAUUGGCAUUCCUUUGCGAAAAAUGGCAAAAAUUCAUGCAUUUGCAUAUCAUAAACAUGCAUUGCAUAUCAUCUUCCAGAGACAAAAACUUACACCAUAUUCUACCCUUUGUCCAGUAACACUGACUACUCGACACCGGUACGAGACACGCUGCAACUACAGGAUGACACUCGAACAACUUGGAGCAAACCAGGUUUCAAUGAGGACAGACAUCGACUCCAUGCAAGCGAAGAUGGACCGUUUACUUGAAACUCUAUUGCUCCUAGCCCAGAAGGAAAAGGAUGCCGAGACUAGCGCCGAAGCCAGAAAAGUUGCCGCUCAGUUUGGAUCACCAUCGCUUAGCAUCCUUGGAGUGACUGACCUUGAUGGUAACCUUGCCCAUCCUAAAGAAGGACCCAUCCCUAUUCAUGUUCCCAUGGUCAAUAUAAACCCCCAUGAGCCUUCCGCUACAACUGCUCGACAUGGAUCCAUGAUGGGUGAUGAAGAUCCAUAUGACGCUUUCUUCAUGCCAUAACCCACCAAACCUGCUGUUGGAAGUCUCCUAGACCCAGCUGUUGAGAGACUCCAUGCUCUGGAAGAGAAGUUUAAGUCCUUGGAGGUUCACACUACUCCCGAUUUGGACGUUGUUGACAUGUGCUUGGUACCAGGCCCCGUGAUUCCGCAAAAGUUCAAGGUCCCGGACUUUGACAAGUAUAAAGGGAUUAGCUGCCCGAGAACUCAUCUCAGAGCUUAUUGUCGCAAGAUGGCUGCACACAUCAGUAAUGAUCAACUCCUGAUUCAUUACUUCCAAGAUAGCCUCAAUGGGGCAUCCUUGGAGUGGUAUAUGCAGCUAGAGAGAGGACAAGUCCAGUCAUGGAGAGAUCUUGCUGAAGCUUUCCUUAAGCAUUAUCAGUACAACACUGAUCUAGCGCCCAAUCGCACCCAGCUGCAGGACAUGACUCAGCGUAAUAACGAGUCAUUCAAGGAAUACACACAACGUUGGAGAGAGCUAGCACCUCGUGUCCAACCUCCUCUUCUUGACAAAGAAAUAAUUGAUAUGUUUAUGGGAAUUUUUCAUACUCAAUAUAUGGAGAAAAUGGUAGGAUCCAGUUUCCCAACUUUUGCUGAGGUUGCCUCUGUGGGAGAAUGAAUCGAGAGCCAGAUCAAGAAGGGAAAUCUACCUUGCGCUGCCAAUGCUUCAAGUGGGAUAAAGAAACCCUAUCCUAAUCUCCCAAAGAAGCCAGAAGGUCAGACCAAUGCCAUAAUGAGAGGAGGAGGAUAUUGGACACAUCCAUAUGCUCCUGUGCCUUACCAUCAGGUUGUCGCUGUCAUCCCAACACCAUAUCAGCCACCAUAUCAACAACCAUAUCAAUAGUCCUAUCAACAACCAGCUUACCAGUAGCCACAUCAUAAUCAACAACAACGUGCUCCACCGCAACGUCAACCUAACCAGCAGGGGGCAAGGAGACCAGAAAGACAUUUUGAUCCUUUGCCAGUACCAUACAGCAAGAUCCUUCCCUACCUGCUAAAGGAUGGAUCAAUUGUUUUGAAGGAGCUAACACCUGCAACUCUUCCCUAUCCACCAGGCUAUGACGCCAAUGCUCACUGCGAGUAUCAUAUGGGUGCCCCAGGGCAUACAGUAGAAAAUUGCAAGGCCUUCAAGCACAAUGUCCAGAACCUGAUUGACAGUAAGGAAGUUACUUUCACGCCAGUUAGGCCAAAUGUUGCAACAAAUCCCAUGCCAGCGUAUGCAGAGUCGAGUGAAGCUCGAAGAUAAAACUUCCCACCGGCCUGGACAAGCAGAGCAAUUCCGCCAGUGGAUCAAAAGAUGAAGGCCCGUUUCUUUGAAUGAAGGCGAUCAUUAUGCCAUUUUUACCCUUUCACAUUCUUGUAAUUUGUUCUUGUUUGUCUAAGUACUGUAUUGCUUUAAACAUUGUUAUUUGUAUUUGGUCUUAUUAAUGGGAUGAUUAUGCAUGAUUUGAAUCAAUCUUUCAUAUUCACUCAUCAAUCACAUUUGCGAAACACAAACACAGACUUUUCCACUUCACCUUCUUUAUCACACUAUUGUUAGUAAAUGUUGGAAGGAGGAUGACGAAAACGAAAUACCCAUAAUUGCUGAUUGUAUGCUUUCGGAUAAAAUCCUACUAAUGAUGUACAUGCAUUGUUUCAAAUCCCCAAAUACUGGAGAGAUAAGGAGUUAAUCCCUAGUCAACCACUUUGAGCCUAGAAGUAGGAGUUUCUUUCAGAUCUACAAACCCUUACGCUUAACCUAGGGUAUGUCGCAUCCGCGAAAAACAACCGGCGGGCAAAAACAAAACAAACAGAGCCGCCACCGUGUGUUAUUUAUCCCAAAGAGGGAAAGGAAAUGCUCGAAGUAAACCUGGAAAAGACAUGGUCUCGUGACCAAAGAGAGAUGGGAUCGGGAGUCGGUUAUGCGAAGGGAAGGUAUUAGCACCCUAGCGCAUCCUGAUAGCGGGAUCACGCUCAGAAAGAAGAAAAGAAGUUGCAACGCUGCCUCAAAAGAAUGCACACACACUGCGAAACAACACAGUGAAGAAACAGGAAACGGGCUCGCUAGGAUAUCGCAUCCUAUGCCUACGUAUCUCAUCUGGAAUGAGAAUCAGAGCUACCGUAGUUCGGCUCACGCACGCCGAAACAAAACACACGCACAGACGCUGAGACGUCAAAUCAAACACGCAAACGGAAACUGAAUGCCAAUCGCUGGACUUACAUCAGACUCCGAACCAACAAACAUACACAGGAAACCAACUGCCAAUCACUGGACUUACGUCGGACUCCACACAAACAAACACCAAUAGGAUACGGACUGCCAAUCGCUGGUCUUACAUCCAUAUCCUAACACACACAAGAAGGUUAACCAACAAAACAAGUUACUAAGGAGUCUGGCACUCGAGCCUAGUAACUUUCAAGCAAACACACGCAAAAAGAAAAAGGGUCCCCGGAGAGAUCUCGUACGACCUCCUGCCUACGUACCUCAUCUGGUAUAAGGAUCAGGGCAAUGUAGUUCCCCUUAACAGGGGAGAAACUUUCUCCUAACCAGAGACUGGGAAAUGACAAACUAGAAGGGAGACUGACUCGAGCCUAAUAGUUAUCAUGUAAUCCACCAUGGUCCUAGGUUGAGGUUUCUANNNNNNNNNNNNNNNNNNNNNNNNNNNNNNNNNNNNNNNNNNNNNNNNNNNNNNNNNNNNNNNNNNNNNAUAAACAAACACAAGCAUUGCCUCUUAAGGAGGGCUUCAGACAGGUGCCUGCCCAAGUAACAGGACAGGUCUUCCAGACUACAUGAAGUCAGAGAGUUAUACCUAUGUGGUUAAGCAACCAAGCAAAAGCAAGUUCAAAUUGAACUUAAGCAACUUAUGUACCUGUUGAAACAUCACACAAGUCAGUACACAACUCAGACAAUCAAACAACAAUCAAUAUCAACAGUCAAACCCAAUAGGCAAAGGCAUAAGCUACAACUCAAACUCAAAUGAGUUAGCAACCCUACAAAACACACAAUGUUAGUAGUCAAAAGCAAGCAUCAAAUGCUCAAGUGAGAUUGCAUCAUGAACCAUAUAACCUGGAUGUUCAACCUGAAAUCAAAGCUCAAAGAUGAGACAAACCACUAGGUCAAGGCCUAGGGUCAAAGAGGGAGAAAAAAUUCAGAACAGAACAUGAAAAUUGACAUGAAUCAACUUCAAUCAAUCAAGAACAUCAUCCAAAAAGUCCCACAUCAAUAUCAUUCACCAAUUUCAUUUCAUGAACAAAAUAUGGAAAGAUAUGCACAUUGUAACCACAUUGAGACAACAGAAUGAACAAAUGCCCAAUAAAUCAAAUAUUAUUCAAUUAAUUUUGGGAAAUAUCAUGGGUAAACAGAACAAACAACAUGAUCAAAACACCAAAAAUCAAGGCAUUUGGACAAGUUUAAGCAUGGUAAUCAAAUUCAUCAAGUCAAAGCAAGCACAAACAAGCUCAAAUGAGGCACCAAAUGCUACAUCAACUUAGCACAAGCCUAAAACAGAAAUGGUAAAAGAUAAAAACCUCAAACCAAAGCCAAAACCACAUUCAACAUGUCUAGAAUUAGUGUGCAAAAUGUCAUAUCCAUAGGAUAAAGCACAAGCAUUUCACAAACAAAUGAAAAUCAUGACUAUUCAAAAGUUCACAAAUGAUCAUCCAGAAUGAAAAAUCUCAAUCAAAUCAGAAAUCAAUCCAAAAAUUCCACAAAAUAUCAUGAGCAUUCACAACAUUCAUAUCAAGCACCAUACAAAAAAUCACAUCAAUUGGAGUUUAUUUGGCAUGGCAAAGAAAUCCAUCAAGUUGAGCAUCACAAGGUGUGACACAAAUUGUCACACCUAACUUAGAAAAACCAUAACUCAGCAAUGGCAAUUGAUAAAAAUGCAAACUCAACACCAAAAUGUCCAGCAAGAUGUCUAGUUUAAGCAUGUAAAAUUUUAUGAGCAUUGGAUAAGAAUUGAGCAUUUCACAAUUGAUAUAUCAAAGCAAUGUCAAAACAUGACAUGUAUACACAAACCCUAGCACAAAAAAUUAUACAACCAUGCAUAAUUUCUGGAAAAAUAAUAAAAAAAAACUAGACACAAAAUGUGACCUAAUGCAAAAACAACCAUAUUUUUUGGAUCAAUAUUUAAUUUGUUUUGAUUUUUUAAAGUUGAAGAAAAAUUAAAAUCAUGUGAAACAAGUAGGAAAAGGCAUGGAAAUAAAUAUGAAAUGAGCACUUGAAAAAAAAUGCCCAGCCAAGAUUCGAACUGCCUGCAUAUUUGAACCUGAAUUGGCGCGCUACAUGGCAAAUCCAUGCAGCCAAUCAGCGCCUUGCCCUAGCGCAUGCCUAUGGCAACGAUUUUGAACCGUGGCCAAAAAGUGUCUUCAUCUUCUUCAGCAAAGCACGCAUGCAUGAACAGUACAAGUUCAACAUCAUCAUGAACAAUAUUCUCAGUUUUUGAAAUUAAGCACAUGUAUAGCUAGGUCUUUCAAUGUAUAACAACAAUCCACAAUUAAUUUAACCAAAAACAUCAUGAACAAUGAGAAUCAAUCAACUUAAGUUUCAUGCAUAGAACUUUAAAUCACCACAACUCACUCAAUAAUGCACGGUUUUCAGUGGUUCAAAGCUCAGCAUGCUCACACAAACAAGAUCUACAAGUCUAGCACAACAAUUUCAAGAAAAGAGAGACUCGAAAUUUUGACCUCUUGAUGAGCAACACGGUUUUCAGUGGUUCAAAGCUCAGCAUGCUCACACAAACAAGAUCUACAAGUCUAGCACAACAAUUUCAAGAAAAGAGAGACUCGAAAUUUUGACCUCUUGAUGAGCAACUUUCGAUUCGUGUGAUUUCAACGCCUUGCAAUGCUUCCAAUGUGUUCUAGCAAGCUUGUAUAGGUGUAUGGAUGAAGUCUUGAUAUUCAAUUGAGCUUGUUUCAACAGAUUUUGAAUUCCACCAUUGAUGAUCUUCAAGCUUGCAUAGGCUUCAAACUCCAUGAAUUCAUGUGAUUCUUGCUUGCAUCUUGCUCUAUGAUGAUGCUAGAUGAUGAAUUUGGCUAGGAAAAUGCAAAGUGUCUGAAGAAAUUUUGAGAAAAAAGUGAGAGAGAAAUUUGAGAGACUUUGAGAAUUCUAGAUCUAGAAUUGGAAAAUGUGAAAAUUCUGUUAUGAUUUGUGUUAUAUAUGCUUCACUAAUCAUGAUUAAUUAAAUUAAACCAAGUGCUAAUGAAAAAUGGUUAAUUUGGAGGUGUUUUGCAAAAAUUGGGAUUUCACCCUUAUGCAUGGGAUGCAUGUGAAUAGUGCACGUUUUUGGCCUUGAUUUCACUCAAAAUAAUGUUUUAAGGCCAAUGGUGAUAGUAGCAUGUGCAAAUAAUGCACACAUUUUGAAUUCUAUUUUUCCCUCCAAAAAUGCAUUGAAUUUUCAACUAUUUAUGUGAAUGGAAUGCAUGUCAUGUAAUGCCAAAUUUGGAAACUAGAGGUUAAAAGGAGAAUGUUGCAAAAAGAGCCAUCUCAUUUGGACAUUUGGUGUGAAAGUUAUGCCCCUUUGAAGUUCCAUGUUCAUUUGACCAAGAUUGAUCCAUAUCUCUUCAACCAUACAUGAGAAAUUCAUGAUCUUGGACUUUUUGGAAAUGGGAGAACAAGAUCUACAACUUUCAUUUCACAAAUUCAUUUGAAAGCUUUCUUGAUGAUGUUAUUUGAGGAGAAAACCUUUCCAUUCUUUGGCAAUUUUGAAUUUACAAGUCACUUUGUCUAUUUUUGCGAAAUUUUGGUCCGUGACUUUAUUUUCUUCAAUGUUGAUGUUUGAAAUGUCAAAUGAGACUUGUUUGAACAUGAAUGAAGUAUUUCUAACCACUUCCCACCUCCAAAUCCAACAGUUGACUUGUGGUUGACUUUUUUCAGUUGAUAGAUGACUUGAUCAUGCACAGAUGAAUUUGAGCCUCAAUCCCUUGAUGAAAUGGCUCCAAAAUGAAACCCUAGCUUAUACAAGCUCAAUAAAAUCAUAGGAUGAUCCCCAUCUCAUGAAAGACCUCAUCUCUUUGACAAACCCUGAUUGGCACAAUACAACUGAUUAGGAUUGACCAGAGGUCAAAACCCUAAUCCCAAGGAAUCUGAUCAGGCACAAUGAACCUCUUGGUGAUGAUAAGACCAUGAUGAUGGUGAUGUACCAUUCCAAUCCAAGAUAAUGAUCAAUCUCCUUGAGGAACCAAUAAACCCUAAUUGAAGCACAAACCCUCAGAUGGCUAGUGAUCAAUUCAUUAAGACUCUCAGGCUUGAAUCUUUUAACCUCUCUAUCUUCUGAGAAAGACUUAGGAGGAUGACUUGCUCAAUGUUUCCACAUGAUAUGCAAUAUGCAAUGACUAAUGCCCUAAAGAUGAAAAUGCAAUAUGCAAAGCUAGUCCCAAAAGAGGAGGGAAAAUUUUGAGGUGUUGCAUAAUUGCUGAUUGUAUGCUUUCGGAUAAAAUCCUACUAAUGAUGUACAUGCAUUGUUUCAAAUCCCCAAACACUAGAGAGAUAAGGAGUUAAUCCCUAGUCAACCACUUUGAGCCUAGAAGUAGGAGUUUCUUUCAGAUCUACAAACCCUUACGCUUAACCUAGGGUAGGGUAGUGUUCAGUUAACCUGACUACACAUUCGAAUUACAAGAUGAAAUAUUCCAUACAAGGAUCAAUCACAUGAUAUUUUUCGCACACAUCCUGAAGUGUCGAAGGAACUAUACAAAUCCAAAUUUUAUGACAGUUGUUCUUCAUUGACCAAUGACUUGGCAGUCACAAUUUUCAAAAAAAUCAAAUCAAAAAAGCCCGCUAAGUCCAACACCCUAAAAGGAGACUUAGGCAAAAACUGGGGCAAUCCCGAUGGAUUAAAGCUUCAAAAGGCGGUCCAUGCAAAAUUAGGGAUCAAAGCAAAAAUCGAGAGAGGCCAUGAAAGUCCUCAACAAAGAAAAACAAUAACCAGUGACCACCAUACCCAAGUCAAAAGGUCGCCAACAUCCAUGAAGAGAAAAAAUAGGAUGACUGUCAAGGGAUUGUACACUGCUGAACUCUCGCAAAAGUAAGUGUGUGCCGAAUUAACUGAACGUAGGAUUGGAGAUCAUUGUGAAAAAGGGGUGGGUUAAAAUAAACUUUGAGCCUUAUAUCCUUUUGUUUCAAAAAACCAUGAACCAAGCCACGUUACAACCCUCAAAAGACCUAAUUGAAGUAGGGUUUAUUCUGAAAGCAUACUACAACAAGGUUGCGUAAACUGACUCCUAGAGAUUUGCUAAUAUUCUAUUCUCACUAUAUCACUCACACGCCAGCUAAAAUCAACACCGUGUUUGGACACAUGGUCCACUCGUCACACACUACCACAAUACUCCCAAGUGAAUGAUUGUUUUUCAAAACUUACAUAACUAUUGCAUUAACAUCACCAUUUCUUGGAUAUGAGAUGUCGAAAUUCUGGUAUCAGAUAUGAGAUGUCAAAGGUAAUGUCACGACACUAAUAUCUGAACAAUACGAACAGGAUAAAAGAUAAAGAACAGUAAUGCAAGAGACACAAGCAAUUGUUAACCCAGUUUGGUGCAAACUCACCUACGUCUGGGGGCUACCAAGCCAGGAAGGAAAUCCACUAAACAAAAUCAGUUCAAAGACUCUCAGUAAACAACUUCAAGUUACAGCCUUUUCACCUAAUCUCUACCCGUGUGACUUCUACCUAAGAACUCUUAGAUAUGAGAUCCUACUCACUCCCCCUCAAUCACAACAGUGAUAUAAAACAAGAAUUACAAUGAAAAGAAGACACUCUUCAAAGAAUCACCUAAUCUCUACCCGUGUGACUUCUACCUAAGAACUCUUAGAUAUGAGAUCCUACUCACUCCCCCUCAAUCACAACAGUGAUAUAAAACAAGAAUUACAAUGAAAAGAAGACACUCUUCAAAGAGACAUACUUGAUCUUACUUAAAAGCUUCAAUCAAGUAAACACACACUCAUGCUUCAAAUCUUAUAGUGGACAAAUUAUAACUCAAAAAUCAGUCCAAUUCAAUCAUCUAUGGAUGAAUGAAUGACUUACAAUACACACGACCACACAAGACUAAAACCCUUAUUCUCUCUCAAUUUUUCGUUCGUUAUUUCUUGUGUAUAAAACCAAGUUUUCCAUGCCCUAUUUAUAGAAUCGUUUGGCUGGGCUUGGACAUCAUAAAACCCUAAAACUAUUUUCCAUUCAUAUCUUCUCAUGAUAGCUGAUUAUAUCUUGUUGGAAAAUAAGUCAAUCUAGUUGUAAUUACUGAUUGAGAGCAUGUUUAAUCAUCUCUUCAAUCAUACAUAGAUUAGCAUUAAAAACACAAUCACACAAUACAUAACAUUAAGACUGAAUGUUCUGUAUACAGAUGUCAUGACAUCGGGUCUGACAUCUCAGUAAAAUCCUGCAUAUUCACAUUUUAAACAUCCUGCAGGUACAUGUUAUCUUAUGUCAAGACAACACUUGUGACAUCACUGACAUCUCAGUAAAAUCCUGCAUAUUCACAUUUUAAACAUCCUGCAGGUACAUGUUAUCUUAUGUCAAGACAACACUUGUGACAUCUUGUGAACACUCUAGGUUUUACCAAAAUUGCUGCCAACAUAUAGAACCAACAAACUCCCCCUUUGGCAAAUUUUGGCUAAAACAUACAUCAGUCCAUUUGUUCACAAGAGUACAAAAAAACAUAUCAACAGUUUAACAGCAGAAGUAAUAAACCACACAUUUACUAGCUAUCAUAGCAACUAGUAAACACACAUAACACAUAUAUGUGCUUCUUCUCCCCCUCAGUCUGUUCAACACAGACAUCUCCUUCAACAACACCUGUAACAUCCAUCACUCCAUCUGACAUCUCCUUCAACAUCACCUAUACAACACAGAACAUCAUUAUGUUCAACAUCAGCUGUCAUCUGUUUAUAGCCUAGCUACUUCAUAGCACAUAUUAACUGCAGCUCUCCUCUACAGCUCUCCCUUUAGCUACUACUUCUCCCCCUUUUUAGUCAAAAUAGACCAAAGAGACCAAUGAGACAAAAUAAAUGUCUAUUAGUCCAACAGAGAAUGUCACAUAGAAUAUUAUAACAUAUAGAAUGUUAAAACAUAUUGCCAGGUGUUACAGAACCAUAAUUAUACACAGCUAUAUCAGCUGAGAUAAAAAGAAAUCCAAAGAACCCAAAAAUUACAUCAUGGCAUCAAAACAAGACUGCCAGAAAAAACAUCAAACAACACAUCAUCAUAACAGGGGGAACCAUCCUCACCACAACUCAGUCUGAGGAUCUAGCAUCUUCAUCAGCUUCAGAUCCAGAACUGUCACUUGAUUUAUCUUGAGAUUCAGACCUCUCACUUGAGACGUGGGCAUCUGUAUCCUUGGCUUGACCAAUAUUAUCCAUGUCUCCUUGCUCCAAGCUAUUAAUCAGAACCUCCGGAGCUUCUUUCCUAGCUUUAGCCACCCUAAUCCCAGUCUCCAAUUCCUUAUAGGUCUCUUUCAGUUCAGCAAUCAGGCCACCUUGAGAGGUUGGCUUCUUCAUAGCAGAUGUCAUGACAAUGUCAUUGACUUGACUGCCUUUAAAUAACUUGUAAUGAACUGACAAUGGAGGUUUUCUUCUACUAGGGAUAUCACUUGUGCUCAGUAUUCCAGGUUGUUGGCUUAGGAUUAUCCCACAAAUUAUUGAGGGAAACGCAAUGGGCAGCUUCACUGCUUUUGUGGAAGCAUGUUUGACAAUUUGUUCAAACAUGAACCUUCCAUGAUCAAAAUUAAGCUUGGUUCCAAUAGCAAAUAUGAUCCUCCCAAGAGCAUUAGAGAUUAUAGAGAUAUGGUUUGUUGGUACCCAGUUUGUUGACCCUAUCUUAUGCAAGAUAACAUAUUUCACAGUUAAUUUACCAGCAGAGAGAUACUUUUUUCUUGGCCACUCCUUGACCUGUCCAGCAGUUAUCGUCCUACAGACCUCAUUGUCUGUGGCCUCUAAUUCAACAACACCUUCUGUUCCUCUUCCUAGAAGCUUAUUGAUCACAGUAGGAGAAAACUUCACACACUUUCCUCUAACAAACACCUUGUAAAACUCUUUGUUGUUCUUGUCAGCAAUGUCCUCAGGGAUGUUCACCACAAACUCUUUAACAAGACCUUUAAAACAUUGAGAUAACCCACUAACUGUUUUCAUUAAACCAGCAGACUUGAUCAGGUCCAUGACCUCCUUAACUUCCACAACAUCCUUUCCCAGUUUUCUUUCCACAGCUACUCUCCUUUGGAUUACAAAUUUCCACUUGGCUGCACCAUCUUCCAGAUGGAAGGAAAUGUUAUCCAAAUGCACAGCAGCAACCUUAGCAGGGGAUUUUCUAACAUUUGACCUUUUGACAGGAGAGAUGUCUAGGACAUUAUCUUCAACAUCUUCCUCUGAAUCAGAAAUUUCUCUUACCUUUCUCUUCUUUACCUCCACUUUACUCCAAGACUUUGAAGGGCCUACAGCAGUAGCCUUCUUACCAGUUUUGGCUGUCAUCAUCUCAGCCACAGACCUACCCUUUCUGGUCUUCAUCCUUUUAGCAACACUUGGCUUCAAGUGAUGAAGCAAGCUAUCAUCUUCCACGUCUGAGCUUUCAUCGUCCAAGUCAAUCACCUUCUUACCAGAGUCAUGCUUCUGAGAAGCAUCUACAGAUUUCUUACUAGGCAAGGUUUACCCUAAAGAACACAGUCCUUCUGCAGCAAUAUCUUUCUCAAACCUAGAUGAGUCAUCAUCUUUCUCAUUGUGAGGUUCAACCUCAGGAGAAGGGUCCCUUCUAGACAGAGGACUAGACACUCCCUUUACCGAGUGUUCUUCAUUUAGGAUCCUCGAGACAAGAUUUCUAAUGACACGAUCAGUAUGAUACAUGUCAUCUUUAGAGGUAGGGUUAUCAGAACUGUUACCUUGAGUAUAUCCAGUAGUGGAGGAUGGACCAGGAGCGUCGCUUGGGAUGACUGAUAGGGGAAUCACUUCCAAAAUGUCCUCAUAAAGAAAAUCUAUGGAUGGUGUUCUUGCUUUGUGUACAAGUUUGGUGUUUUUAGAACUAGAAGAUGAAGGAUGUUGUGACAUCUUGUUGAGCUUGUGAAAGAAUUUUUGUUGCCCUAGUAGAGAUGGUCGAUAAAAUUUGAGGAAGAUGGAAGUGGUUGAGCUGAGGUUGCGUGUGAAAAUGCUAUAGAUGAUAGUUUAUAUACUAGGUAAUGAUUUACCAUAAAUGAGGCCCUUUCUUUUAAGUGGGAAGAUAAUAUUCUUAUUACCUUUUCCACUCCAAAUUAAUUGCUAUAAAUUCUCACGGAUACAAAUCCCUAAUUUCCCUCUUAAACAUUCAAAUUGAUUAGCAUCCAAAGCCUUUGUAAAUAUGUCAGCUAAUUGCAUUUCAGUAGUAACAUGCUCCAGGGCUAUGAUUUUCUCUUCCACUAGAUUGAUUAGCAUCCAAAGCCUUUGUAAAUAUGUCAGCUAAUUGCAUUUCAGUAGUAACAUGCUCCAGGGCUAUGAUUUUCUCUUCCACUAGUUCUCUAAUAAAGUGAUGACGAAUAUCAAUGUGUUUUAUCCUGCUGUGCUGAAUAGGAUUCUUAGAAAUAUUUAUAGCACUUAGGUUGUCACAGUACAAUGUCAUGACAUCUUGUGUGACAUUGUAUUCAGUCAACAUUUGUUUCAUCCAAACCAGUUGAGAACAACUACUCCCAACUGCUAUGUAUUCAGCUUCAGCAAUGGAUAGGGACACACAAUUUUGUUUCUUACUAAACCAUGAUAUUAAGUUGUUCCCCAAGAAGUAACAUCCUCCUGAUGUGCUUUUUCUAUCAUCAGCACUUCCAGCCCAGUCAGCAUCACAAUAUCCAGUCAGCAUAGAUCCAGAUCCAUGAGUAUAUAAUAUCCCAUAGUCACCGGUGCCAUUGACAUAUUUCAGUAUCCUCUUCACUUGGUUUAUGUGACUGACUUUUAGUUCAACUUGAUAUCUAGGACAAACACCUACAACAAAAGCAAUGUCAGGUCUGCUUGCUGUGAGAUAUAGCAAACUUCCUAUCAUGCUUCUGUAGAGACUUUGAUCUACACUAACACCAUUUUCAUCUUUGGAGACUUUCAGAUGUGUAGGAGCAGGUGUUCUUUUAUGACUUGCAUUCUCCAUGCCAAACUUCUUAACAAUGUUUUUGGCAUAUUUGCUUUGAGAUAGAAAGAUAGAAUCUUCCAUCUGCUUGACUUGUAGCCCAAGAAAAUAGGUCAGCUCUCCAACAAGGCUCAUCUCAAAUUCAGACUACAUUUAUUUAACAAAAUGUUCGACCAUCUGAUCUGACAUCCCACCAAACACAAUAUCAUCCACAUAUAUUUGAGCCACCAUGAGUUUUCCUCCUUCAUUCUUAACAAAUAAGGUUUUGUCAAUACCUCCCUUCCUGUAUCCAUUGUUAGUGAGGAACACUGUGAGUCUAUCAUACCAAGCCCUAGGAGCUUGUUUCAAGCCAUAGAGGGCUUUCCUCAACUUGUACACAUGCUUUGGAUAUGUGAAUCCUUUAGGUUGUUCAACAUAUACUUCCUCAUUUAAGUAGCCAUUCAAGAAGGCACUUUUUACAUCCAUUUGAAACAGUUUGAACUUCAGAAUACAUGUCACUCCAAGCAAUAGUCUAAUGGACUCAAGGCGAGCUACAGGGGCAAAUGUUUCAUCAAAAUCCACUCCUUCAACUUGAGUGUAUCCUUGUGCUACUAAUCUUUCUUUAUUUUUAGUAACCACCCCUUGUUCAUCAGAUUUAUUCUUAUACACCCACUUUGUUCCUAUGACAUUUAUUCCUUCCGGUCUUGGAACCAGUUCCCACACUUCAUUUCUCUUGAAUUGGCCUAACUCUUCAUGCAUGGCAUUGAUCCAGAACUCAUCAGUCAAGGCUUCCUUGACAUUCCUAGGCUCAAUCUUGGACACAAAACACCCAUGUGAGAUCACUUCCCUGACUAAGUUGUGACGCCCUUUACUUUGGGUCUUAUAUGAGAUCUUUAUGGAUGAUCCUUCUGAAGUUCCUGAGGGGGGUCCCUUGUUGAUUUGUGUCAGUUCAGGUUCGCUUGAGAGGUUCAUCUAUUAUUUUUUCGUGGUAAUCAGCUGGGCAUCAUUUUAGAAGAUGUCUCAACAUCGUCCUGUAAUCAUCAGUUGUUGAUUCAUCACUCACAACAUUGAUAGAUUCCAUCAUUACUUUUGUUCUGGAAUUAAAGACUCUAUAUGCUCUGUUGUUUGUUGAGUAGCCCAGAAAUAUUCCUUCAUCACUUUUGGGAUCCAUCUUCCUUCUUUGUUCAUGAUCAGUCAAGAUAUAACAUUUACUACCAAACACAUGGAAGUAUUUGACUGUAGGUCUUAUCCCUUUCCAGACUUCAUAUAAGGUAGUAGGAGUCCCUUUCUUCAAGGUUACUCUGUUGUGAACAUAGCAGGUUGUGUUCAUAGCUUCAGCCUAGAAGUGGUAGGGAAAUUUCUUGGCAUGAAUCACAGCUCUGGCUGAUUCUUGGAGAGUUCUAUUUUUCCUUUCUACCACACCAUUUUGAUGGGGAGUAAUGGGAGAUGAGAACUCAUGGCUAAUUCCUUCUGAUGCACAGAAUUCAGCAAAUUUGUUGUUUUCAAAUUCCUUCCCAUGAUCACUUAUGAUUUUGAUAACUUGACUUUCCUUUUCUCUUUGAAGUCUUAGACAAAGAUCUUUGAAGAUUUCAAAUACAUCAGACUUUUCUCUUAUAAAAUUGACCCAGGUGUAUCUGGAGAAGUCAUCCACCACUACAUAGGCAUACUUCUUCCCACCAAGGAUUUCCACCUGCAUGGGUCCCAUCAAAUCCAUAUGGAGGAGUUCCAGCACUCUGGAAGUGGUGUCAUGUUUAAGCUUCUGGUGUGACAUCUUUGUCUGUUUUCCAAUCUGACAUUCCCCACAAACUCUUCCUUCAUCAAUCUUCAAAAUGGGAAUUCCUCUAACAGCUUCAACAGAUAUAAUCCUCUUCAUUCCUUUAAGAUGCACAUGGCCCAAUCUUUGAUGCCAUAUCUUCACUUCUUCUUCUUUGGCUAGAGUACACAUUGAGGAAUAACCAGUUUCUUGAGAACUCCAUAUAUAGAAGUUGUCUUUAGACCUAACUCCUUUCAUGAUCACUUCAUUUUCUUUAUUAGUAAUCAGACAUUCAGUUUUUAUGAAGUUUACAGUUAGACCUUGGUCACAUAGUUGACUGAUGCUUAUUAGGUUUGCAGUCAGUCCCUUAACAAGUAGGACAUUGUCAAGAUUAGGAACUCCAGGGCAGUUAAGCUUACCAAUCCCCUUGAUCUCACCCUUUUCUCCAUCACCAAAGGUUACAUAGCUGGUGGCAUGAGGAUGAAGGCCAGUUAGCAGGUUUUUGUUUCCAAUCAUGUGUCUGGAGCACCCACUGUUAAAAUACUAGUCUUCUUUGGCUGAAACUCUGAAGGAAGUGUGAGCUAUCAAGUUUGUAACAACAGUCCUAGGAACCCAUUGUUUUUUGUUGACAGGUAUGUGAUGUUUGGGUCUAGGUUGAUGAUGAGAAGGACUAGGAUAGCCAUAUAACUUAUAGCAGAAUGGUUUUAUGUGGCCAAAUUUUCCACAGUAAUGACAUCUCCAUCUUUGAUAUUUCCCUUUCUGCUGUCUUCCUUUAUGAUGUUGUGACAUCUCUGGUUUGCUACCAGUGUGACUGCACCUAGGUUUAGAUUUAGGUUUGCUACCAGUGUGACUGCAUUCAGGUUUAGAUUCAUUGAACCUAAUGCUAGACUUGUCUCCUGCCAUUUGUCCAGUCUGGAGAAUUUUGUCUAAGGUGUCAGUUCCAUUGUUCAGCAUUCUGACAUACUUUGUCAUCUCAUCCAGUUUAGAAUUCAAGAAUACUGCUUCAGUUUUUAACUUAGAGAUGGUUUCCAAAUGUUCUGCCUUUUCAUUCUCCAACUGUGCUAUCACUUUCUUCUGACUUUCAACUUGUUGACACACUUCUUCACUUCUGUGACACAGCUUUCUGUAGGUAGUCGCUAACUCAUCAAAGGUCACUUCAUCAUCACUUGAGUCUUCAUCAGAACCCCAUCUUCCAGUCAAGGCAGUCACAAGAUUUGCAGACUCUUAUGUUUCACUUUCAUCAGACCAAGUAGAAGUAAGACUCUUCUUCUGUUUCUUGAGGUAGGUUCCACAUUCAGUUCUAAUGUGUCCAUACCCAUCAUAUUCAUGGCACUGAACUCCUUUUCCUUCUUUGGGCUUUUCAUCUGAUCUAGUUCUUCUUCCAGAAUUGUUGGAUUUACUGAUGUCAGAUGAGAUAUUCUUGACAUUAGCCUUAGACCUUACAUCCAUCUUUUUUAGAAGUCUGUUGAACUGUCUUCCCAACAAUGCUACAUCAUAAUUUCCAGAUCUUCAUCAAUAUCUUGACCACUUUCCUCCUCUUUCUCCUCAGUGUUUUACAUGAAGGCUAUGCUUUUGACUUUCUUUUCAGAUCCAUCACACAUUCCCAUCUCAAAUGUUUUGAGGGAUCCAAUUAGCUCAUUAACUCUCAUAUUGGAAAUGUCUUGAGACUCUUCUAUGGUUGUCACUUUCAUGGCAAAUCUCUUAGGAAGUGACCUGAGUAUUUUCCUCACUAGUUUUUCAUCUGCCAUCUUCUCACCCAGGGCUCCUGAGGCAUUAGCAAUUUCAAGUAUAUUCAUAUGAAAUUCAUAAAUAUUUUCAUCUUCUUUCAUUCUUAAGUUUUCAAACUUGGUAGUGAGCAGCUGCAGUCUAGAGAUCUUCACUCUAGAGGUGCCUUCAUGAGUGGUUUUGAGAAUGUUCCAAGCAUCUUUAGCCACCUCACAGUUGUUUAUCAAUCUGAAGAUAUUUGUAUCUACUCCAUUGAAUAUAGAAUUCAAUUCUUUAGAGUUCCCAAGCUCUAGAUCAUCCUCCUCUUUGGUCCAUUGUUCCUCAGCCUUCUUAUCAGUUGUAGCUUCUCCAUCCUUAGUAAUCACUGGAUGUUCCCAGCCUGUUAAAACAGCCUUCCAAGCCUUGUUAUCCAGAGAUUUUAGGAAGGCUACAAUUAGAGGUUUCCAGUAGUCAUAGUUGGAUCCAUCCAGAAUAGGUGGUCUGUGAACAGAUCCUCCGUCUCUAUCCAUAGUACCAGAAAGUAACGUCCUUAGAUCUCACCCAGAACCAGAGCAUGAUGCCUGCUUUGAUACCAAUUGAAAUUCUGGUAUCAGAUAUGAGAUGUUGAAGGUAAUUUCACGACACUAAUAUCUGAACAAUACAAACAGGAUAACAGAUAAAGAACAGUAAUGCAAGAGACACAAGCAAUUGUUAACCCAGUUCGGUGCAAACUCACCUACGUCUGGGGGCUACCAAGCCAGGAAGGAAAUCCACUAAACAAAAUCAGUUCAAAGACUCUCAGUAAACAACUUCAAGUUACAGUCUUUUCACCUAAUCUCUACCCGUGUGACUUCUACCUAAGAACUCUUAGAUUUGAGAUCCUACUCACUCCCCCUCAAUCACAGCAACGAUAUAAAACAAGAAUUACAAUGAAAAGAAGACACUCUUCAAAGACACAUACUUGAUCUUACUUAAAAGCUUCAAUCAAGUAAACACACACUCAUGCUUCAAAGCUUAAAGUGGACAAAUUACAACUCAAAAAUCAGUUCAAUUCAAUCAUCUAUGGAUGAAUGAAUGGCUUAUAAUACACACGACCACACAAGACUAAAACCCUUAUUCUCUCUCAAUUUUUCGUUCGUUAUUUCUUGUGUAUAAAACCAAGUUUUCCAUGCCCUAUUUAUAGAAUCGUUUGGCUGGGCUUGGACAUCAUAAAACCCUAAAACUAUUUUCCAUUCAUAUCUUCUCAUGACAACUGAUUAUAUCUUGUUGGAAAAUAAGUCAAUCUAGUUGUAAUUACUGAUUGAGAGCGCGUCUAAUCAUCUCUUCAAUCAUACAUAGAUUAGCAUUAAAAAUGCAAUCACACAAUACAUAACAUUCAGACUGAAUGUUCUGUAUACAGAUGUCAUGACAUCGGGUCUGACAUCAGUCAUUUUAGGACGUAUAAGUGUAAAAUUUGUAGGACGUCCUACAUGUUAUCUUAUGUCAAGACAACACUUGUGACAUCUUGUGAACACUCUAGGUUUUACCAAAAUUGCUGCCAACACAUAGAACCAACACAAUAUAAGACAAAUCUCCAAGCAUCAGUGGAUGAGAGAGGAAAAACACUUCGAUACGUAGCCCGUCUGAGGCAAGUGUCUCAAAGGCUAAUCAGGGGAAGAUUGUUGCAAGAGUCAUACGUUGGAGAAAACAGACUCAAGCCAUGAGAUAAUCACUCCUAAAGGUUUCCUUUCAAGGAGGAUUCCUGUGAACACCCUACAGACUGGGGCAAGACAAGUUGCAAGAGGAAAAUUCCCUUCAUAUCUUCAAGCUAGUCAAGCAGAUUGUGUCAGACACUAGUGACUGCUUGAACUCACGAACAAAAACGUCGAAGGUUCAUACCAGUACAACAUCACAUCUUAACGAGAAUCCUAGUGGCACAUCAAAGGCAUGACCAUCAUGCAUUGAUCACGUCGCUAUGCUCAGUUACAGGCUAGCCAGACAUCUCAGAAGAAGAAGCCGAGAUCUUCUCAAAGACAAAUACACAAUAUAUCAACAAGAAAUCAAACUUGGGGCACCAAGAGUAUCCGCAUCUACUGCGUGUUCAUCACAUCAUCAACUACCGAGUGUCGGGAAGUCAGAUUCUCCCACCAAUCAAUAGCUCAAUCCACAUUGAGAAUGACUAGAAAAGACCAAAGUCCUCCUGGCUGGCACUAACACAAAAUCAAAUACAACCAGCACUAGUUUCCAGAAGAUACAUCGCCUUUGAAAAGGGGGGCCAAUCCCUAUCAAACCAAUCAUCAUUUGCAUUCAAACGUGCAUCACAUGUAUCCCAUGUAUCACCUCAUACAUAACACAUACAUAACAUUUAUUCAUAUAGCACAAAUCAAAAUCCAAGGUCUAGUCGUAGGCAUCCAGGCCAACCCUCAGUUGAGUCAUUGUCACUUCCUCUAAGUGAGUUCCUACCCUAUUAUCGGGCGUCCCCCAUUAAGUUACAUCCUUCAACCUUUUGUUGAUAAGGUAUUAUCCUCAGCUAAGUCAAACAUUGUUUCUUUAAACACCUACCUUGUUUCGCGUUGAGCGUCCCUCAAUGAGUUGUUUCCUAUAACCUUUUGUUGAUGAAAAUUACAUCUUUCUAGAGAACAUUUUUCUGCGACCUUUUGUUGUUGAUACCCCAAGCAAGUCUUACCCAGUAGUGUUCCAAUACUACCCAACAAGUCGGGUUUAUCGAGCUUUGUUAGUAGCCUUAUUUUUCUAUUAUUUCUCUCACUAUCAUCCUCUUGGUGAAAGUCCCUUGAUGAAUAAUGAUCAUCGCCCUAUUUACGAUAAUCGUUAUCCUUUUGGUAAUGGUAAAUCCUUGACAUUCGUGAUCUUACCGUCAUCCUUUUGGUGUCGGUGAUCCUUGAAGUUUUGUCCUAACCUUCAUCCUUUUGGUGAAUGGUGCCCUUUGCAAUUAUUAUAGCUUACCGUCAUCCUUUUGGUGUCAGCCAUCCUUGUGGUGACAGGGAUCCUUGUCAUUUUGGUUCAACCAUCACCCUUUUUUGAUGGUGAUCUCGGUUAUUAUGUUUAAUCAUCAUCCUUUUGGUGAUGACGUCCAGUUCAAUCUAAACAUCAUCCUUUUGGUGAUAGAGAUUACGGAGUUUGGUUUAAGCUAUCAUACUUUUGGUGAUGGUGACAUUUGGAAAGUCCAAUCCCACUGUCAUCCUUUUGGUGUCAUCAAUAUUUGAAGUUGUUAUAACUUAUUAUCAUCCUUUUGGUGGUAACAAGUUUCGAAGUUAUGAUCUACCCUUCAUCCUUUUGGUGAUGGUGAUCGUUGAUUCAUUAUCAUCCUUUUGGUGAUAACGAGUCCUGUUGUUUGUAGUACCUUCAUCCUUUUGGUGAUGGUGACUGUCGACUUAUUAUCAUCCUUUUGGUGAUAACAAGUUUUAUUGUUCGAUCCUACCUUCAUCCUUUUGGUGACGGUGAUCAGUAAAGGUUAUCGACAUAUUAUCAUCCUUUUGGUGGUAACGAAUUUGUUGUUUGAUCCUACCUUCAUACUUUUGGUGACGGUGACCAUUUGAGUUAUGGACUCAUUAUCAUCCUUUUGGUGAUAACGGGUUUUUAUUUUAUAUUACCUUCAUCCUUUUGGUGAUGGGGAUCCUUUGAGUUGUGUGACUUAUUAUCAUCCUUUUGGUGGUAACAAGUUGUGUUGUUAAUUUUACCUUCAUCCUUUUGGUGAUGGUUAUUGGUGACUUAUUAUCAUCCUUUUGGUAAUAAUAAGUUUUGAAGUUUUGUUCUCACCUUCAUCCUUUUGGUGAUGGUGAUCAUUUAAGUGGUUAUGACUUACUAUCAUCCUUUUGAUGAUAGCAGGUUUUGUUGUUUGACCUUACCUUCAUCCUUUUGGGGAUGGUGGUCAUUGAAGUUAUUUGACUUAUUAUCAUCCUUUUGGUGAUAACAGGUUUUGUUUUGAUCUUACCUUCAUCCUUUUGGUGAUGGUGAUCAUUUGAGUUAUUGACUUAUUAUCAUCCUUUUGGUGGUAACAAGUUUCGUUUUUGAUCUUACCUUCAUCCUUUUGGUGAUGGUGAUCAUUUAAAUCAUCGACUUAUUAUCAUCCUUUUGGUGGUAACGAGUUUUGUUGUUUAAUCCUACCUUCAUCCUUUUGGUGACGGUGACCAUUUGAGUUAUGGGCUCAUUGUCAUCCUUUUGGUGAUAAUGGGUUUUGUUUUGAUCUUACCCUCAUCCUUUUGGUGAUGGCGAUCAUUAAGUUUAUUUCGGCUUAUUAUCAUCCUUUUGGUGAUAACAAGUUUUGAAGUUCUGUCCUUAUUAUCAUCCUUUUGGUGAUAACAAGUUUUGUUUUUGAUCUUACCUUCAUCCUUUUGGUGAUGGUGAUCAUUUGAGUUGUUGACUUAUUAUCAUCUUUUUGGUGGUAACAAGUUUCGUCUUUUAUCUGACCUUCAUCCUUUUGGUGACGGUGAUCAUUGGUGAUUGUCGACUUAUUAUCAUCCUUUUGGUGGUAACAAGUUUGGUUGUUUAAUUGUACCUUCAUCCUUUUGGUGAUAGUGAUCAUUGAAGUUAUUUGACUUAUUAUCAUCCUUUUGGUGAUAACAAGUUUUGUUUGGUCUUACUUUCAUCCUUUUGAUGAUGGUGAUCAUUGAAGUCAUUUGACUUAUUAUCAUCCUUUUGGUGAUAACAGGUUUUGUUGCUGGAUCUUACCUUCAUCCUUUUGGUGACGGCGAUCUUUGAAGUUGAUGAGUUAACUAUCAUCCUUUUGGUGGUAGCCCUGAUAUUAUACUCUCGGUAAUGGGAAACUUUAUCAGAACGACCAUCAUCCUUUUUGGUGACGGACAUCGUCCUUUUGGUGAUGGAAACCUUUGGAUUGUGUCCAACUUUCAUCCUUUUGGUGAUAGCAAGAUUUGUUGUCGAUAUUACCAUCAUCCUUGUGGUGAUGGCGAUCUUUCUUGUAGCCACUGUAACCAUCAUCCUUUUGGUGAUGACUACCUUUGAAGCUCGGUUUAACCAUUAUCCUUUUGGUGAUGGACCUCAUCCUUUUGGUGAUGAUUCUUUUUAAAGCCCGGUUUAUCCAUCAUCCUUUUGGUGAUGAUGAUCCUGAAAAUCAUGGUGAAUUUCGGUCAUCCUUUUGGUGAUAUCAAUUAAUCCUACUGUCAUCCUUUCGGUGCCAGAAAACCUGUUCAAUUUUAGUCCCACAUUUGUCUUUACAUCAAUAACGACCUUUGCAAAGAUUUAAAUGUCGACUCGAGGGUUGACAUUGAUUUGACAUUCUACCCCUAAUACCUUGGUGUUGUUAGAAUUCAUUGCAUUUUCUUUCUGCAUAUCUCCAUUGCAUUCCAAAGGACAAAAUUUGGGUCUUUUCGUAUUUAAUUACCUUCCACCACGAAUGUAUGAAGACCGUUGUCAUUCUUACCUUCUAGUUCAAGAUAAUUAAAUAGGGGCAGCUGUCAUACCCCAAUUUUGUUCGGGCAUUUAAAUCUUUGUAAAAUUGAUUUCAUUUUUAAUUUGCAUCAUAUACACAGCAUGGCAUGCAUUCCAUCAUGAAUAAAACCUAAAAUAUCAGUUGGAAUAAAUUAUUGAAAAUACAGACAAUCGGUUAAAUAAUUUCUCAAAAACGUGCAAAAAUCAGCGGGUAAAAAGUUUCAAAAUUAAAAUUGCAGACGUCAGUAUUAUUAAUCUACGGUUCACGUAGUUUAACUUGGUGUGCUCGUCAUAUUUUUCAAUGACUGUUUCGGCUGCAUUGUGACCCGCCUGAGCCUUUUAACCGGUGAAAAUUUAUUUCAAAAUUUAAAGAAACGCUGUAUUUUUUCAAUAAGUAUAUUUUAUGCUGAUAAUUUUAGUGUGCCCGAUUUAAUUUUUCGAGCAAAUUUAUAUCCGGCUUCUAUUUAUAAUCGAUCACUAUUUUUGCUAGGUUAAUUAUUCAACUAAAGUAAUUAAAAGUUUAUUUAAAUCAAAACAUUUAUUAGGAAUUUUUAAUAAGAGUAUUUCUUUUAAUAAUAGUAAUUGUUUGAGAUUUAACAUUGGAUUCUUUGUAGUAUUUUUGACAACAUUGGAUUCUUUGUAGUAUUUUUGACAGCUAGCAUUGAAGAAGGAAAAAAGAUCUCUCAUAUCUCUCUCUCUCUCAGCCACGUCACACUCACAACAAAUACUCUUUCUCCCACUAACUCUCUCUCUAAUCUCUCGUACGCAUAAAAAACAGAAGAAAAAAACGAAAAAAGAAAAAGAGAGGCACAAACCACCACUCUCUCUCUCUCCUCACACUCACCUACAAUUACUCACUCACUCACAUCUCUCUCUACACUCAGACUCUCUCUAAAAAAUAAUUAAAAAAAGAGAAAAAAGAAAAGGAGGAAUUACUGUUCCUCUUCUUGAAUCCAUCCGCCGUCAUACUCCCCCACCGUCACAACCCAAAACAACCAUUCAUCACCACCAAAUCUACCGCGUCUCAUACACCAUAACCACCAUUAAACCAUCAAACAUUUGCUUCGACAAAAUCUCCAACUACUCUCUCACACUCACCAAAAACUCUCCCUCGCCUCACCUAUCUUCUGUCAAUCUCUGUAGAAAAAAAAGAGAAAAAACGAGAAAAGAAAAAGAAAUUGGGAAAAACUCUUCCUCUUCUUCGAAUCUCACAAGCCACUACCCCAUCGCCUCCAUUGCCUCCAACCGACGCGGUUACUUCCAUCACAGACCACCGCUCCACCUCAACAACCUUCAUCAAACCCAUACUCCCUCCAAAUCACCAACAACCAAACCAGAUCCAUACGUCUUAAUCCCGCCACCGCAAUGUAAAGAUC
This 27352-nucleotide long non-coding RNA is filed under the name Lathyrus oleraceus (garden pea). RNAcentral's name for it is "Pisum sativum (pea) long non-coding RNA (PSAT_LNC030755)". The record is from RNAcentral. Lineage: Eukaryota; Viridiplantae; Streptophyta; Magnoliopsida; Fabales; Fabaceae.